This 328-nucleotide ribosomal RNA is filed under the name uncultured bacterium. RNAcentral's name for it is "bacterial SSU rRNA". It matches the Rfam family "Bacterial small subunit ribosomal RNA", at positions 568 to 898 of the family's 1533-position model. The record is from RNAcentral.
CGUGUAGGUGGACCUUUAAGUCGAUGGUGAAAUCCUGCGGCUCAACCGCAGAAUUGCUUUCGAAACUGGAGGUCUUGAGUGCGGCAGAGGGAGAUGGAAUUCAUGGUGUAGCGGUGAAAUGUGUAGAUAUCAUGAAGAACACCGGUAGCGAAGGCGGUCUCCUGGUCCGCAACUGACACUGAGGCGCGAAAGCGUGGGGAGCAAACAGGAUUAGAUACCCUGGUAGUCCACGCCUUAAACGAUGGGUACUCGGUGCUGGACCGCGAGGUUCAGUGCCUAAGUUAACGCAUUAAGUACCCCACCUGGGGAGUACGAUCGCAAGGUUGAA